AGUGAACGCUGGCGGUAGGCCUAACACAUGCAAGUCGAACGGCAGCACAGUAAGAGCUUGCUCUUACGGGUGGCGAGUGGCGGACGGGUGAGGUAUACAUCGGAAUCUACUUUUUCGUGGGGGAUAACGUAGGGACACUUACGCUAAUACCGUAUACGACCUACGGGUGAAAGCAGGGGAUCUUCGGACCUUGCGCGAUUGAAUGAGCCGAUGUCGGAUUAGCUAGUUGGCGGGGUAAAGGCCCACCAAGGCGACGAUCCGUAGCUGGUCUGAGAGGAUGAUCAGCCACACUGGAACUGAGACACGGUCCAGACUCCUACGGGAGGCAGCAGUGGGGAAUAUUGGACAAUGGGCGCAAGCCUGAUCCAGCCAUACCGCGUGUGUGAAGAAGGCCUUCGGGUUGUAAAGCCCUUUUGUUGGGAAAGAAAAGCAGCAGGUUAAUACCCCGCUGUUCUGACGGUACCCAAAGAAUAAGCACCGGCUAACUUCGUG
RNAcentral lists this ribosomal RNA (492 nucleotides) under uncultured bacterium. Its description in RNAcentral is "partial 16S ribosomal RNA". It matches the Rfam family "Bacterial small subunit ribosomal RNA", at positions 29 to 507 of the family's 1533-position model. The record is from RNAcentral.